AGUCAUAUGCUUGUCUCAAAGAUUAAGCCAUGCAUGUCUCAGUACAAGCCGAAAUAAGGUGAAACCGCGAAAGGCUCAUUAAAUCAGUUAUGGUUCCUUAGAUCGUACCCACAUUUACUUGGAUAACUGUGGUAAUUCUAGAGCUAAUACAUGCAAACAGAGCUCCGACCGGAGACGGGAGGAGUGCUUUUAUUAGAUCAAAACCAAUCGGCGGCGGGCGCGUCCGCGCGUCCGUUCGCCGCUCAACCUGGUGACUCUGAAUAACUUUCCGCUGAUCGCACGGUCUCGCACCGGCGACGCAUCUUUCAAAUGUCUGCCUUAUCAACUGUCGAUGGUAGGUUCUGCGCCUACCAUGGUCGUAACGGGUAACGGGGAAUCAGGGUUCGAUUCCGGAGAGGGAGCCUGAGAAACGGCUACCACAUCCAAGGAAGGCAGCAGGCGCGCAAAUUACCCACUCCCGGCACGGGGAGGUAGUGACGAAAAAUAACGAUACGGGACUCAUCCGAGGCCCCGUAAUCGGAAUGAGUACACUUUAAAUCCUUUAACGAGGAUCAAUUGGAGGGCAAGUCUGGUGCCAGCAGCCGCG
This 586-nucleotide ribosomal RNA is filed under the name Hygrotus nigrolineatus. RNAcentral describes it as "SSU rRNA". It matches the Rfam family "Eukaryotic small subunit ribosomal RNA", at positions 22 to 578 of the family's 1831-position model. The record is from RNAcentral. Lineage: Eukaryota; Metazoa; Arthropoda; Insecta; Coleoptera; Dytiscidae.